RNAcentral lists this ribosomal RNA (523 nucleotides) under uncultured bacterium. RNAcentral's name for it is "partial 16S ribosomal RNA". It matches the Rfam family "Bacterial small subunit ribosomal RNA", at positions 28 to 523 of the family's 1533-position model. The record is from RNAcentral.
GACGAACGCUGGCGGCGUGCCUAAUACAUGCAAGUCGAACGAAGCUGUUUUAACUGGUGCUUGCACCGACUUAACCAACUGAGUGGCGAACGGGUGAGUAACACGUGGGUAACCUGCCACAAAGCGGGGGAUAAAAUUUGGAAACAGAUGCGAAUACCGCAUAACCACAGAAACCACAUGGUUUCUGUGUCAAAGCUGGAUUCGGCUAUCACAUCGGGAUGGACCCGCGGCGUAUUAGCUAGUUGGUAAGGUAUGGCUUACCAAGGCAAUGAUACGUAGCCGAACUGAGAGGUUGAUCGGCCACAUUGGGACUGAGACACGGCCCAAACUCCUACGGGAGGCAGCAGUAGGGAAUCUUCCACAAUGGACGAAAGUCUGAUGGAGCAACGCCGCGUGAGUGAAGAAGGUUUUCGGAUCGUAAAACUCUGUUGUCAGAGAAGAACGUGUGCGAGAGUAACUGCUCGUGCAGUGACGGUAUCUGGCCAGAAAGCCACGGCUAACUACGUGCCAGCAGCCGCGGUAA